RNAcentral lists this ribosomal RNA (253 nucleotides) under uncultured bacterium. Its description in RNAcentral is "partial 16S ribosomal RNA". It matches the Rfam family "Bacterial small subunit ribosomal RNA", at positions 524 to 776 of the family's 1533-position model. The record is from RNAcentral.
UACGGGGGGGGCAAGCGUUGUUCGGAAUUACUGGGCGUAAAGGGCUCGUAGGUGGCCAACUAAGUCAGACGUGAAAUCCCUCGGCUUAACCGGGGAACUGCGUCUGAUACUGGAUGGCUUGAGUUCGGGAGAGGGAUGCGGAAUUCCAGGUGUAGCGGUGAAAUGCGUAGAUAUCUGGAGGAACACCGGUGGCGAAGGCGGCAUCCUGGACCUACACUGACACUGAGGAGCGAAAGCCAGGGGAGCAAACGGG